UACAGAGGCCUCGAGCGUUAGGCGGAAUCACUGGGCUUAAAGCGUGUGUAGGCGGACCCCUAAGUACCUUGUGAAAUCCCACGGCUCAACCGUGGAACUGCUGGGUAUACUGGUCGUCUUGAGCCAGCCAGGGGCGAGCGGAACAGACGGUGGAGCGGUGAAAUGCGUAGAUAUCGUCUGGAACGCCGAAGGUGAAAACAGCUCGCUGGGGUUGCGCUGACGCUGAGACACGAAAGCCAGGGGAGCGAACGGG
This 253-nucleotide ribosomal RNA is filed under the name uncultured bacterium. RNAcentral describes it as "partial 16S ribosomal RNA". It matches the Rfam family "Bacterial small subunit ribosomal RNA", at positions 524 to 776 of the family's 1533-position model. The record is from RNAcentral.